UCAAAACGCAAGCGGUUAUUGGCGUAAUCUUUUGAGCAUCGCUGGUUUUGUGCCUCAAUAUGACGACUCGUGCCUACUUAACGUUAAUGCACAUUUAAUUUGACAAAAAUUGGCUAAUUCCUAUUCAUUUUGGCUCGAGCGGAUGCUGGAGCGAUGCAUUGGGAAUUCUUGCGCUAUAUUAGUUGGUGUAGCUCUCAUUUCAUCCUCAGAGGAGUCAAUAAAGCGAAGCUCAAUUUACACCGACAAAAUUACCAUCAAUUUUAUUUAAUUUUGUUUCCUUUAAUUUCUCCCCAUUCUUCUCAAGCGAAUCAAAUUUCAUCCAUAAGUAUAAUACAUUAUUAAAGUGCUGGGUUGAGAAUAAUUAAAAAAAAUGCGUGGUGUGUUUAAAUUUUUAUUAAAGUUUAUUUUUUCGAUCGUUGUUUGGGUGCAAAAUGAUUUUCAUUUGAAAGUUGUGUCGUCGUUGUCUUAGAGUCUGAGUGAAGUGGAGUGGAGUAACCUGUAUGUGAGCCCUGUGUGAAUCGUGUUUGAUUGAACAGCAAAAUUGCUGACUAGCAUAAAGUGGCUGCUGCAAUAGGUGUCGACCCUCUCUGCAAACACAAUACAUAAGCCGACAAAUUAAACUCCGGAUCGGGUUUGUGAAUAGCGACAUUUCAUAAAAAAGGAUUGGACACAUUGAAUAUAUGGAGAGCUCCUCGAGAAUUAAUCCUUAAUCGGUGUGCUUUCCUGCGAUAUUGAUCCCGAUAUUGGGAUUGGUGCAUGAAAGUCGCGUCGAAAUUUCGUGUAAAAUCGUAACGAUUUCGAGAUCACAUCGAAUCCCUUUGCUGAUAAAUUGGUAUAAUGGGCGAAGUAAUCGGCUCAUUGCACCCUAAGUGUCUGAAAGACCAAGUAAAGAAGUGAUUGUGGGGAAAUGGCUCGGAACGGCGUGAGGAAGGAAACCGCUCGAUCGGAGGAGGAUUGUGUUCGGCUGGUGGCGGCGCGAUACUCCUCCACUCCCGCAUUCUACCCACAAUUAGCAACUCUAAUGCACACCCGGCUUAUCAACUACAUCCAUUGGCAAAAACGCGAAAAUUCCAUUGGCAAAACUUUAAACAACUCAAAAUAACGUAACAAUAUUUCAGUUUUAAUCAACAGGAAAACAUGCAAAGUAUUAUUGUUACUUCUUAUCGCUCGCGUUUGCCAAUAGCUAAAUUUAGAUUAUCAGACAAUAAAUAUGAAUAAAACCUUCUAU
Long non-coding RNA from Tribolium castaneum (red flour beetle), 1228 nucleotides. RefSeq lists it as uncharacterized. The record is from RefSeq and is a predicted model, not a curated record. NCBI's taxonomy places the organism in Eukaryota, Metazoa, Arthropoda, Insecta, Coleoptera, Tenebrionidae. The transcript is spliced from 2 exons.